UACGUAGGGUGCGAGUGUUGUCCGGAAUUACUGGGCGUAAAGAGCUCGUAGGGGGUUUGUCGCGUUGUUCGUGAAAACCGGAGGCUUAACCUUCGGCGUGCGGGCGAUACGGGCAGACUGGAGUACUGCAGGGGAGACUGGAAUUCCUGGUGUAGCGGUGGAAUGCGCAGAUAUCAGGAGGAACCCCGGUGGCGAAGGCGGGUCUCUGGGCAGUAACUGACGCUGAGGAGCGAAAGCGUGGGGAGCGAACAGG
This 253-nucleotide ribosomal RNA is filed under the name uncultured bacterium. RNAcentral describes it as "partial 16S ribosomal RNA". It matches the Rfam family "Bacterial small subunit ribosomal RNA", at positions 524 to 776 of the family's 1533-position model. The record is from RNAcentral.